Molecule: long non-coding RNA, 187 nt
Organism: Octopus sinensis (East Asian common octopus)
Lineage: Eukaryota; Metazoa; Mollusca; Cephalopoda; Octopoda; Octopodidae
Exons: 3
Source: RefSeq, a predicted model, not a curated record
UAUAUCCACGACCGGAGUCAUUCUUGUUGCUUAUUUUGAUUAUGAUCACGCCACGGAUUCAUAUGGAUAACACCAUCCAAAAUUCUGGUGCAUCUAAAUUAAGUACCAUAUUCAUUUGAAUCUAAAUUUUUUGUGACCUUUUAUAUAUAUAUAUAUAUAUAUAUAUAUAGAGAGAACAGAAGCUAAA